AUAACUAUAUCUUUUAUAUAAUAAUAUAUUUUAAAAAUAAUAAUCUUUUAUAUAGACAUGCUUUAAUAGAUCUAAUAAAUGAUUAACUCGGACCUACCAAUAUGGGUAUAUAAAUACUUAAAUCUGGGUAUUUAAAAUUUCGAAUGCGAAUUUUAAAAAAACCGAACUUUAUUGAUCUAGAUCUCUUGUAUAAUAGCUAGAAUAAUAUAGAUCUACAACACCUAGAUCUAGGCCUAGACUAAAGUUAAAGACUAAGGUCUAGAUUUAUUUAACGUUUUAAAAAAAAAAUCAAUAGAUCUAAUAUAGACAGUCAUGAGAUCCACUCUAUUUUAUCUAGAUAUAGACCAUACAUGAGAAAUAAUAUGAUCAUGAGAUCAAUAAUUGUCAAUUAUAGUCAAUAUGAAUAUUUAUAGAUCUAGUGACUCUAGUCCAGAGUCUAGAUUGAAGAUUCUAGAUCUAUCGAUCAUCUAUGAUCUAGUCUGUCUAUAGCUAUACUUACUAUUAUAGGCCUACACUUUUACUGUAUAUGAGUAUACUCAUACGAGUCAUACUGACUAUACUAUAGUAAGUAUAGACACUAUAGUUAGUAUAGUUAAUACUUUUUAAUAGUAUAUCUAUAGUAUAAUCUAUCAAUUCUAUCUAAAUUAUUCUAAAUCUAGACUUCACUUUCACAUCACAUUCAGUCAUUCACAUGAUUAUUGAUACAGACAGUGAAUGAAACGAAUGCAGUGGUUAUACUGAUUAUACUUAAAGUGACGAUACUACUUAUAGAUCUACCAGUUGAUAAACAUCAUCAUCAUAGAUAAUAAUCUACAUCUAUAAUCAUAGUGCCCUUUAUUUAGUCAAUAUAGUCAAGUCAAGGUAGUGGAACGUAAACUCGAAGGUUUAUUACAAUAUGGUAUGAGUCUAUGAGUUAGUAUAAGAUCUAAUUAUUUUGUUACUUUGUAUGUGACAGUAUGUCAAUGUCUCAAUUAAAAUAAUUAAUAUCACCAGCCAUAUCAUUUUAAAUAUUUAAAAAGUAGACAUAGAUUUUUAUUAUAUUAUAAAUAGAUAGAUUAGAUCUACAUAUAAUUUUACAAACUUUAGAAAUGAUUGAUUUUAUUUUUUAUUGAUAAGCCUUCUAGACUAGAUCUAGCAUCUCUAGCUAGACUCUAACAUGUAGAUUGUAGAUCUUUGAAUUGGAUCGAUAUUCACCUUCCUAAAUUGUCUCUAAAGUCUAUAGCUGAUUUGAGAGGCCCAACGAGGCAAGACAAGUCUAUUAUUACUCUGUCUCUUGAUCUAUCUAGUAGGCCUACUAAGCUAGUGCAUUAGCCAUAGUGUAGUCAAAUCUUGACAACUAGUCCUCUAGAUCUGAGCUUCUAGAAUAAUUAGAUCUAGAUCCAGUUUAGAUUUAGAGUAUAAAAGUUUUUACUACCUAAAAUACUAAAUCUACUGAUCUAAAUUCUAGAUAUAUAGAUCCAGUUCAGAUUAGGAUAUAAAAAUAUUCCACUAGCUAAAAUUCUAAAUCUACUGAUCUAUACUUAAUAUGUUAGAUAUUAUAUGACAUCUAUCUACAAAAAUUAUUAUUAAGAUAUAAUUAUAGAUUCUAGACUAGUUAUAUAUGUACAUAAAAUAUAUAAAUAAAAGAUAAAAUUUAUGCAGGCCUAGGUCCCAUAAAUUUAUAAUUGAUCCAGAUCUAUCAGUAAAAGUUACCUUCGAUUGGCAGUUUUACCCAAUCUAAUCUAUACAAGACAAUUUAUAAUCCAUGCCUUGCCUACACCCCAUAUAUAUUACUUUCCAUUCCAUGCCAUGCCCAGACCCAUGAGUUCAUGAAAUAAUAAAUGAUGUGGUGUCAAGUUGGAUCUAUCCCCUGAAAUUCAGUACUUUAAUAUAAAACUCACAUAUCUACUUAAUUAUUUGCUAUGACACUCUGAUAAACUUGGACUUGUGUGAUACAUAUAUGUUUCUUAUCAGAUUUAAUGAAUGAAGUUUUGGUGCAUUUUAAGGCUACAAAAGUAUCAUCAGGUGUAUUCUAACCAUUGGUAUUUUUCCUGGCAACAUUUCUUUUCUAGUCUGUGAUAAAUUAUAAAUAAAAAAAAAUGUUUGUAAUGUUUCAGUUAUUAACAAGUAGAACCAUGCCAACCAGUUCUGAUGAUGUACCAGAAUGGCUCAAGGAUCAUACUUAUACUAUUUCUACUUUCUGGGCAUCCAUUCAAUAUUUAUUUUAUUAACAAGUAGAACCAUGGCAACCAGUUCUGAUGAUGUACCAGAAUGGCUCAAGGAUCAUACUUAUACUAUUUCUACUCUCUGGGCAUCCAUUCAAUAUUUAAUUUAUGUUUGGAAAUGCAAGAAAAAGGCAUGCAUUCCUGAAAAGUCAAUGAUUGGUUGCACCUCUUAAAGAUAACUUUCUGUUAUGAGAAAAGAUGAGAUUCUUGGACUCCUGCAUAGCACCACCAGAAAGGAAAAUCCCAUCAUGUUGCAAAAUAAAAGUCUUGGACCAAUUUUAAUUUAAGAUAUAUAUAUUAUACUGUAAGCUGUAUACAUAUUUAUGUAUAUCCUGUCAUUCAGCCAACAGGUUUGAAUUUAGUAUUUCUUUAAAUCUGUUUGAUAUUGUACUUGAAAACUAUUAAUCUGAGCCCCAUUAAAACAAGAGGGAGUGCAGUGGAUGAGUGGUAAGGGAAAUUUUACUUUUUUAAAAUUAAAAUAAGAAUCUAACAAAAGUAAACAUAUAAAAUAUGGUGCAUUCUCCUUAAAACUAAAACCUGGUGCAAAGGUUUAAAAUGUUGGCAAAAAAAAAAGCAACAUCAAUUAAAUAUUCUUAAUUCCCUUUGCAAAACUUACUGAGAAGAACAUGCAUGUUGUUCCCUCAUAAGUUUCUUGACAGAGGAAAUCUUGUUUAUAUUAGUUUUGAAUUAAGCAAAUUAAGAAAAAAAUUAUAAUCAUUAUUUCAAAUGGUUGUAUCUAAACCUUAUGAAUUAUUUUUCAGUUAUAAGUAUAUUGAAAUGAAUGGAUAAUCAUGAAAUUGUUAAAUAAUUGCUGCUAUCAUUCCAUUGACUAAAGAACCAUAAUUUUUUUUUUAAUUAAUUUCAAAAUUAAUUAAUUAAUUAAUUUUCAAGCAGAGUUCACAUAGAUCUUGAGUGAAAUUUUUCUUUUUUUGACUAAUGCUUCAAUUUUAUUGUAUCAUUAGUUUUUUAUUUUUAUUACCCAGAAUAUUUUAAAAAUGAGUACACUAUUUUCAUGUAAUAAUGUAACUUGGUAUUCACACAUCAAAAUACGCUAUAAUCUUUAGGCCAUAUAGAUUUGUAUAAAUAUAAAUUAACUUGCUUAAAUACAUUGUAAAUGUAUAUUGUUUGGAUAAGAAUAAAGUUUUUCUGUAGACAA
This is a long non-coding RNA of Biomphalaria glabrata, 3360 nucleotides long. RefSeq lists it as uncharacterized. The record is from RefSeq and is a predicted model, not a curated record. Lineage: Eukaryota; Metazoa; Mollusca; Gastropoda; Planorbidae. The transcript is spliced from 4 exons.